AGCUGUAGCUCAAUGGUAGAGCACUUGCCUGGCACGUGGGAGGUGCUGGGUUCAAUCCUCAGGGCCA
This 67-nucleotide transfer RNA is filed under the name Marmota monax (woodchuck). RNAcentral describes it as "tRNA.Ala". The stretch from base 6 to 62 matches the Rfam family "tRNA", at positions 8 to 63 of the family's 71-position model. From Rfam's summary of the family: Transfer RNA (tRNA) molecules are approximately 80 nucleotides in length. Lineage: Eukaryota; Metazoa; Chordata; Mammalia; Rodentia; Sciuridae. The record is from RNAcentral.